AGAAUCAACGCUGGCGGCGUGCCUAACACAUGCAAGUCGAACGAGAAAGUGGAGCAAUCCAUGAGUAAAGUGGCGCACGGGUGAGUAACACGUGACUAACCUACCCUUGAGUGGGGGAUAACCUCGGGAAACCGGGGCUAAUACCGCAUAACAUCGAGAGAUCAAAGGAGCAAUUCGCUUAAGGAGGGGGUCGCGGCUGAUUAGCUAGUUGGUGAGGUAAUGGCUCACCAAGGCUAUGAUCAGUAUCCGGCCUGAGAGGGCGCACGGACACACUGGAACUGAAACACGGUCCAGACUCCUACGGGAGGCAGCAGUGGGGGAAUUUUUGCGCAAUGGGGGAAACCCUGACGCAGCAACGCCGCGUGGAGGAUGAAGUCCCUUGGGACGUAAACUCCUUUCGAUCGGGACGAUAAUGACGGUACCGGAAGAAGAAGCCCGGCUAACUUCGCGCCAGCAGCCGC
This 461-nucleotide ribosomal RNA is filed under the name uncultured bacterium. RNAcentral describes it as "SSU rRNA". It matches the Rfam family "Bacterial small subunit ribosomal RNA", at positions 26 to 518 of the family's 1533-position model. The record is from RNAcentral.